AUGCGCUUCACUUUCUUUUCAUAAGAUGGCGUUAGUAAAUCGUGUAAUGUUUUGCCCGGGAAUGAAGGCUAUGAGCCUUCAAGCCCAGUUCCGACUUCUUCACAUUACUCCAACAUGUACAGCUUUCACUAAGGUUGCUAUGAGUAAAUUUGAUAAAGAACAUUUUAUUCCAUAUGAAAGACUAGCCAAAAAUCUAGAUAUUGUCAAAAGCAGGCUUAAAAGGCCACUGACUCUAUCAGAAAAAGUUCUCUAUUCUCAUCUUGACCAGCCAGAAAUGCAAGACAUUAAGAAAGGAGAAAGCUACUUAAGGUUACGACCUGACAGGGUAGCUAUGCAAGAUGCUACUGCUCAGAUGGCUAUGUUACAGUUUAUCUCCAGUGGCCUUAAGAAGGUAGCAGUGCCAACCACAAUUCAUUGUGAUCACUUAAUUGAAGCUCAAGUUGGAGGAGUUCAAGAUUUGGCACGAGCAAAGGCUCUUCACAAAGAAGUUUACAGUUUUCUUAAAACAGCAGCAGCAAAAUAUGGAGUUGGGUUUUGGAACCCUGGCAGUGGAAUUAUUCAUCAGAUUAUCUUGGAGAACUAUGCUUUUCCAGGGGUGCUGUUAAUUGGUACUGACAGCCACACACCAAAUGGAGGUGGCCUAGGUGGUGUGUGUAUUGGUGUGGGUGGAGCUGAUGCUGUUGAUGUCAUGGCCAACAUUCCAUGGGAACUUAAAUGUCCUAAGGUUAUUGGAGUCCAUCUGACUGGUAAAAUAUCUGGAUGGACCUCUCCUAAAGAUGUGAUCCUUAAGGUAGCUGAUAUUUUAACUGUUAAAGGAGGAACUGGAGCUAUAGUAGAGUAUCAUGGACCUGGAGUUGAAUCAAUAUCUUGUACAGGAAUGGGGACCAUCUGUAACAUGGGUGCUGAAAUUGGAGCUACUACAUCUGUGUUUCCAUACAACCCUAGGAUGAUUGACUACAUGGUAGCUACUGGAAGAAAAGAAAUAGCAGAUUUGGCUGAUCAAUUUUCUUUUCUGCUGACGCCUGACAAGGGAUGUGAGUACGACCAACUUGUAGAAAUCAACUUGGAUGAGUUGGAACCUCAUGUCAAUGGACCCUUCACACCAGACCUUGCUCAUCCUAUCUCUAGGUUUGGGAAGCAAGCCAAAGAAAAUGGAUGGCCAUUGCAAGUUAAAGUUGGUUUAAUUGGGAGCUGUACCAACAGUAGCUAUGAAGACAUGGCUCGAGCCAGUAGUAUAGCACAACAAGCCCUGAACUAUGGACUAAAAUCCAAAUCCAAAUUUACGGUCACCCCAGGCUCUGAACAAAUCCGUGCUACCAUUGAACGUGAUGGCCAGGCUAAAGUAUUGCGAGAAUUUGGAGGUGUUGUAUUAGCUAAUGCUUGUGGACCUUGCAUUGGACAAUGGGAUAGGAAAGAUGUUUCUAAAGGUGUUAAAAACACCAUUGUUUCAUCAUAUAACCGGAACUUCACUGGACGAAACGAUGCCAACCCUGCAACCCAUGCUUUUGUAGCAUCACCUGAACUUGUUACUGCUUUGUCUAUUGCAGGACGACUAGAUUUCAACCCACUAACUGAUGAGUUAACUGGAAGUAAAGGAGAAAGAUUUAAGCUAGAAAGUCCACAAGGUGACACCUUACCAUCUCAAGGGUUUGAUCCAGGUCAGGACACCUAUCAAUUUCCACCAGAAGAUGGGUCUGACAUUGAUGUGGAUGUUGACCCCAAGAGCCAAAGGUUGCAGUUACUUGAGCCAUUUGAUAAGUGGGAUGGCAAGGACCUAACAGACUUGCUAAUCCUGAUAAAGAGCUAUUAAUGAAGAAACGAAUGAGGCUAACUUGGUUAAGAAUCAUUUAACUGGAGAUUAUGCAACUGUUCCUGAUACUGCCAGAAUGUACAAAUCAAGAGGUGUCAAGUGGUGUAUUAUU
This 1922-nucleotide unclassified non-coding RNA is filed under the name Limulus polyphemus (Atlantic horseshoe crab). RNAcentral's name for it is "aconitate hydratase, mitochondrial-like, transcript variant X2". The record is from RNAcentral. Lineage: Eukaryota; Metazoa; Arthropoda; Merostomata; Xiphosura; Limulidae.